This 16-nucleotide small RNA is filed under the name Arabidopsis thaliana (thale cress). RNAcentral describes it as "ATSL284170". The record is from RNAcentral. Lineage: Eukaryota; Viridiplantae; Streptophyta; Magnoliopsida; Brassicales; Brassicaceae.
AUUUUAAAAGGGUUUC